UACGAGGGGGGCGAGCGUUGUUCGGAAUUAUUGGGCGUAAAGGGUGCGUAGGCGGGUCUUUAAGUCAGGGGCGAAAUCCUGGAGCUCAACUCCAGAACUGCCUUUGAUACUGAGGAUCUUGAGUUCGGGAGAGGUGAGUGGAACUGCGAGUGUAGAGGUGAAAUUCGUAGAUAUUCGCAAGAACACCAGUGGCGAAGGCGGCUCACUGGCCCGAUACUGACGCUGAGGCACGAAAGCGUGGGGAGCAAACAGG
This 253-nucleotide ribosomal RNA is filed under the name uncultured bacterium. RNAcentral describes it as "partial 16S ribosomal RNA". It matches the Rfam family "Bacterial small subunit ribosomal RNA", at positions 524 to 776 of the family's 1533-position model. The record is from RNAcentral.